Molecule: regulatory RNA element, 143 nt
Organism: Staphylococcus sp. HGB0015
Lineage: Bacteria; Bacillati; Bacillota; Bacilli; Caryophanales; Staphylococcaceae
Rfam family: FMN riboswitch aptamer (RFN element)
About the family: The RFN element is a highly conserved domain that is found frequently in the 5'-untranslated regions of prokaryotic mRNAs that encode for flavin mononucleotide (FMN) biosynthesis and transport proteins.
Source: Rfam
AUUCAUCUUCGGGGUAGGGUGCAAUUCCCAACCGGCAGUAAAUUAAAGCCUGCGACCUGCAAAAAAUCAAAAUCUUGAUAUUUUGUGGCUGAUCUAGUGAAAUUCUAGAGCCGACAGUAAAGUCUGGAUGGGAGAAGAUGGAG